CUGCUCACUCUAGCAGCAUGUACACUAAAAUUGGAACAAUACAGAGAAGGUUAGCAUGAUCCCUGCACAAGGAGGACAUGCAGGUUAAUGAAUUGUUCUAUAGUUUA
Small nuclear RNA from Psammomys obesus (fat sand rat), 107 nucleotides. Lineage: Eukaryota; Metazoa; Chordata; Mammalia; Rodentia; Muridae. The record is from RefSeq and is a predicted model, not a curated record.